AUGGCCAGUGAGAAAACCCACAGCAGCGUUCCUGCACGCCUCCCAGCUCCACACUCCAGGAUCAGUAGUGGGAGUUUUAUUGAUCAGUGUGGGAGGGAGGUUUUUGUACAGCCAGUAAACCAGUUUGUAUCACUGUGGAGGACUUUUGGUGGAGGAACCAAACUGUCAGUUGGAAGUGUGGCCGCGCCCACCCUCACGGUCCUGCCCCCCUCCAGCGUGGAGCUGCAGCAGGGGAAGGCCACACUCGUGUGUUUGGCCAACAAGGGCUUCCCCUCAGACUGGAGGCUGAGCUGGAAGGUGGACGGGAGCAGCUGGAGCUUGGGGGUUAGCCAGAGCCCUGGGCUUCUGCAGAAGGACGACGGCCUCUACAGCUGGAGCAGCACCCUGACCCUCCAGGAGGACCAGUGGCUAAAGAAGACAGUGACCUGUGAGGCCACCAAGGACUCCCAGACUCCUGUCAGCCAAACCCUGAGGAGAGAGCAAUGCACUGGGCAGUGAGCGUCCACGCGUGUGUUGGAGCUGCUAGAGCUCCUCUUGAUCUUCAGUGAGCUCAAACAUGGCUCUGCUUAAUGCUCUGAUCUUCAUCUCAUCACUUCAUCAUCACAAUAAAGAGCUUCAGUAU
This is a non-coding RNA of Pygocentrus nattereri (red-bellied piranha), 622 nucleotides long. The record is from the annotation of a RefSeq genome assembly. Lineage: Eukaryota; Metazoa; Chordata; Actinopteri; Characiformes; Serrasalmidae.